AUAUAUAUAUCAACCCAUUCUUGUUGGAGUGGUUUGGAUGUGGGGGUUUGCUGGCCUUAUUAAAAGGUUCAGCUCCCUUGAAAUGCAUUAGCAGAACGAACCUGUUCAUUGGCGUGAUAACUAUCUAUGCUAUUGAAUGUGAGGGGAAGUUCAGCUUUCUAACUGUCCUUGGACAAUUCAUCA
This 183-nucleotide unclassified non-coding RNA is filed under the name uncultured fungus. RNAcentral's name for it is "sequence contains 5.8S rRNA gene, ITS2". The record is from RNAcentral. Lineage: Eukaryota; Fungi.